AUUGAACGCUGGCGGCAUGCCUUACACAUGCAAGUCGAACGGCAGCACGGGAGCAAUCCUGGUGGCGAGUGGCGAACGGGUGAGUAAUAUAUCGGAACGUGCCCAGUCGUGGGGAUAACGUAGCGAAAGCUACGCUAAUACCGCAUACGAUCUAUGGAUGAAAGCGGGGGAUCGCAAGACCUCGCGCGAUUGGAGCGGCCGAUAUCAGAUUAGGUAGUUGGUGAGGUAAAGGCUCACCAAGCCGACGAUCUGUAGCUGGUCUGAGAGGACGACCAGCCACACUGGGACUGAGACACGGCCCAGACUCCUACGGAGGCAGCAGUGGGAAUUUGGACAAUGGGCGCAAGCCUGAUCCAGCAAUGCCGCGUGCAGGAUGAAGG
RNAcentral lists this ribosomal RNA (380 nucleotides) under uncultured bacterium. Its description in RNAcentral is "bacterial SSU rRNA". It matches the Rfam family "Bacterial small subunit ribosomal RNA", at positions 30 to 414 of the family's 1533-position model. The record is from RNAcentral.